ACUGGGGCCGUUGACUAAGCGAGGGGAUGCAGCCAAUGCCAGGCAGAGCUGGAGAGGAAAGAAAAGAAUGUUUCCCUUUCAUUUCUGCCGCACAAUGCAGUAAUCGAUCUUAUGCCCGUAGACACAAAUGCUCAAUCUCUGGGAAAGAGGCAAAUAAAGCCACAGAAUAGACAUUAGAGCCAACUAAAACCCUCAUUGUCUGCCUUUUCAAAGACUCAAAUUACUAGCAAGGUACUGCAGUGACGGUAGAAAACUCAGGCCAGCGGCCAUCAAGCCCACGGAGCAUAUGAAGAUAACUGGUACCAGGGAACUGAAAGUCAUCACAAGAUGAACUGAAGCUGGAAUCACUCCUACAGAUUGGACAAAGCCACUGACAGAUUGGCUCGGCCUGGCACCAGGCUGCAGAGAUCCUUACCGGAAGCAGCUGCAGCACUCUCUUCAAAUAUCCUGACUGCCAACCUCCGAGGAGACUCCCAGGAGCCUGACCAAGUGAGCCAGGCAUUAGAGAGAGAGCACAGAAAUAAGCUGUGGCCUCUGGACUUGAAGGACACUUUUGAAGACAGCAUUCAUCUUUUAAGAACUGAUGUGUAAGAUAGAGACCAGGAAGGAAAGAACUUGAACUUGCUGGAACAGAUUACAUCCUUGAAACUUCCAAACUUCUGUCACACUCCUCUCAGCUCUUUAUUUUCUUUAGCACAUGUUCUACUUUUCUGCUCCCGUUGGCACUGUUUGUAUAUCAGUCAGUGUAAGUCAAGAUGACGAUAAUUAAAUAUCACUUGAAGUUCAGAGACAAAGUGAUUAAAUUUGAACUUAAAUCUUUCUGAAAUAGGUACCGCUCUUUCACAGAGGGGAAAUUCUACUUGCAUAUUAGUAGGAAUAUAAUUAUCUUAUUCAAAAUACUAAAUCUCUUAAGAAACAAUACAAUAUUAUCUCAGGUAAAAAAGGGUAAUCAGAAAUUCAAAGAAGGUUUUUUCUUACAAUUAUUUCACCUAUUCGGGAAGCGACUGUACUUUCUUCAUACACAGACUUUUGCCUCCGUCCAAGGAUAGAGAACUUCCAGAGAAACCUCUCUUUACCUCCCUUAAUGUGAAAGAAAAAAGGGAGAAAACCUGAAGCCUCUGUGUGGCAGAGAGACGAUGAGGUAGCACAAGCAGCAUAACCUAAUACAGACUUGCCAAGCCAUGACAGCUGCCAUUCAUUUUUUCAAGAAACUGUAAGAAACGAAGAUCACAUGAUGGACUCCUGAGGUGGGCUGGGCCCUCUCCAGCACAAGGGUCUAAUCCCUGCCCACUAGGUUGGGUGUGAGAGAAGGAUGAUCUUUACCAAGAAUCGGGCAUGGUGGAUGUGUGUCCCUAGAUUGUCAAAUCCAGCUUCGCCUAUCAGUAAUCUAAUUCAAAUUCACCUCCCAAAUUGAAGAGCUAUUCAAUUUCCUAUUGCACUGCAACUUUAAUUUCAGCAGUUUCCCUUAUCCUACAUCCAGCAUUGAUUAAGGAAUCCAAAUGCAAAACUCCAAGUUGCAUUACAAGCGAAGGCUGUGCAUCAGUGCUGAAGUGACAAUCAUCCCCAUUCUCAGUGUGAACUGGGAGCAAGAGCUAAUUAAAAUUAUAAGCUAGAGAGAACAUGCUUUGAAAAAGAGAAGCCAUCCCUAACCAAUAAUUCCAGGGAUAAAUCAUACUUGAUUUGCUAACAUAUAGAUGUGUCCAGGAACUAUGAUCUACAAAUGUCUUGAAUAUGGUUCUAAUCAAUCUGCAGAACAAUAAUCAAGGAGGCAUAUAAUUAGAACAGGCUCAUAACGACAAGCAGCACAUAAUGCUGUGUCACCUUGAAACAGUGCAGAGCGUCCCUUCUCCCAAGUCAUAACUGAUAUUAAAUAGAGGCAGUUUCUUCGUCUGAAAUGCACCCUGACAGACUUCUGGCUUUCCUGGUAAGGCAGUUUCAGACUUACACAGGGUCCUGCUCAAAUUUGAUUGAUCCUCCUGCUCUUCCUGCCCUCUGUUCCUCAUACUCUGGCCCUUUCUGUGUCAGAUAGGCUUCUGACCUGAGAGGUCCCUAGAGACUGCAGCUACCAACCCCAGCUGGCACUGUGCAGUCAGUAAUGAAAGAUGACCAGAUAGGAAACUAUGAGUUACUGGCCUCUAGGAGUUCUUGGUGUCAUCACUGGGAUAGGUAUGGCAUUGGAGAAGAGCAAGAACAGUUUUCUAGGACCUUCCAUGUAUCUCAUUCAUUCCGCAUCAGAGACCAGCUUAGUCAAUCAGGAAAGAAAAAUAGCAUCUGGUAGAGAUGACAAUGAUAUUCCAGCUCAUGUCCAUAGCUCCCAGACUGCCCUUGAUGGAGGCCUCAUUUGCCUCUACUUUCCUCCUGCUAACCCUCAAGGAUGCCACGUGCAUUCCUGUCUCAGUGUCUGUUUACCUGCUGAUGUUUGUACUUGGAAUGGUGUAUCUAUAGAUUUUUAAGCAAACAUCCCCCUCUUCACUAUUCUAGUUUCCAACUCACACAUCUAUUGCUCGUCCUGGUCUUUUCUCGUAUUCUAGCUAGACCAGACUUCUCACCGCAGUGUCCUUUCUCAUUUACUCUUCGCCAAGGUGAGAUCAUGCACACCAUCUGGAGCCACACCACUUGAGUUUGAGUGUGGUGUCUCUGUUUACCCACUGUGGGUCAUGAGGCAGGGACUUCAGUACUGUUGUUCAGCAUCUUCAUCAGCAAGAUGAUGGUCGUGAGAACAGUUGUUGGGUUUAUUUUAAGAAUGACAUGAAGUAAUGCAAGUCUUUAGAAUAGAACAAGGUCUGCAGGCAAGCAUACUCUAUCCACGAUCAUUGGUAUUUUCUUCAUAGCACCUAUUGGUAGCUGAAGUUUCCUUCUUUGUGAGUCUAAAUGUUUAUUAGGAGGACAGGGAAUCUGCUUUGUUUCUUACUCUGCCCCCAGAUGCUAGAAUUUUACCUGGAAGAAUAUUUUACUUGGUACCUGCUACCAAAUUAUUGUGUAAUUUAUUGAGUGCUCAAUAAAUUAUUAUUGUCUAGACAUUUUUUUUGAGUGAUUCAAACUUCUGGUAUACUGCCUUUGGGUUUUCAAAUAAGAUGAUACUGGACCAUAGUUUUGCUACUCUCUAGGUCUGCUAUUUAAAACUACUUAUUUAAUCUAUUCAAGUGUUGGUUUUAUCAUUUUUGAAAGAGAUAAUAAUGUUUUACUAGCUGCACUAAUCUCCCUCGAGUCAUCUAGUGUCUUAUCCUGUUUGAUUUUUAUAUAAUUUUCCAACCAUCUAGAGUACUCCUUCUCUACUUUAUUCAUCUGCAUACUCCUAUUUAUCCCUCAAAACCCAGCAAAAUAGAUUUGUAGACCAAUGAUACAGAACAGAGGACUUUGAAACAAACCCACAUAAACACAGUCAUCUCAUACUAGACAAAGGUGCCAAAAAAAAUUGGAUAAAAGAUAGUCUCUACAACAAAUGCUGCUAGGAAAACUGGAAAU
Molecule: non-coding RNA, 3465 nt
Organism: Ictidomys tridecemlineatus (thirteen-lined ground squirrel)
Lineage: Eukaryota; Metazoa; Chordata; Mammalia; Rodentia; Sciuridae
Source: RefSeq, a predicted model, not a curated record